UACGUAGGGUGCGAGCGUUGUCCGGAAUUAUUGGGCGUAAAGAGCUUGUAGGUGGUUUGUCGCGUCUGCUGUGAAAACUCGGGGCUUAACUCCGGGCCUGCAGUGGGUACGGGCAGACUAGAGUGCGGUAGGGGAGACUGGAAUUCCUGGUGUAGCGGUGAAAUGCGCAGAUAUCAGGAGGAACACCGGUGGCGAAGGCGGGUCUCUGGGCCGUAACUGACGCUGAGGAGCGAAAGCGUGGGGAGCGAACAGG
This 253-nucleotide ribosomal RNA is filed under the name uncultured bacterium. Its description in RNAcentral is "partial 16S ribosomal RNA". It matches the Rfam family "Bacterial small subunit ribosomal RNA", at positions 524 to 776 of the family's 1533-position model. The record is from RNAcentral.